UGUCUUUGGUGACCACAAGGUGAGUAGCUCUCCACACCUGUCCACCCACCAGAAUCUUAAAAGUUUACGUAGAGGUCAAGUUGGGUUCAAUCACGUGCUCCAUUCAGAUGGUCUCAACAACUCAAAGCUCACUCCGGGCUGUGUCUUUCAAAUCCUCUCCCCCGGAGGAGAGGAGGGAGUGAUCUCUGACGACCUGGCUGCAGCUCACUGAUGGACUUCCGGUCACAUCAACUCGAUGACCACCGCCAACACAUUCCUUCACCACACCUUUCUCCUUUCCCACAAAAUUUUCCCCUAAUUACUCCCAACAGCAGCAAGUCCAUAUUACCUCAAAACCUGCUAGUUUUGCAUCCAGCCUGCACACCAGGUUAUUCAACCUGGUUCCUUUCGGAGGAUGUUUUUGAACCACCUCCCAAGAGACUCAUUGUGCCAAACAAAUUAUAAAUCACUUACUUGAUAUUCUGUGGGAAAUAUAUCAUUUCAGGUUGGCCUUGUCAUCCCAUCCAGUAUAUCAUCCCACUCUGCAUUCUACAAUAAAUAACAUAUUUUUAAAAGAAAAAAAAUCACAGUCGUCUAUUCGUCAUUUGGAAUUCUUCACAUCAGUACUGGUUUCCAUUAUUUCCACUAAUUAAAUUGAUUUACAUUGUCAAUUUCUAAGUGAAUACUCAUGUAAACGGCAGUGUUAUUAAUAUUUUAAGGCAUCGUUUCCUCCUUUUUCAUCUAGUUCAAUAAUUUGACCAUAACUGGAGGCACAGAUCACGUCACUGUCCUGGUGCCGACAGCUUCCUGGAUGGACCGCACCAUCUACUGUCAGGAGCUUGGAGAGAAGUGAACAGAAUUCUCUACAGCAACACACCAAAGCAGGCUGAACCUGAGAAGCGCUGAAUUUGGAGACUAAAUCAUGUGCGUUCAGAGCCAAAGAAGGAGACCACUUUGGCUAGGACACUGGAGGUGAUUCCUCGAAGACUGGGGCUGGGUCACCCUAGUCCUUGCGACUAAAAGUAGUCUUUGAACAGCAACACGGACCUCACGUGGGAGCUUNNNNNNNNNNNNNNNNNNNNNNNNNNNNNNNNNNNNNNNNNNNNNNNNNNNNNNNNNNNNGACAAGACCGCCAGAUGAUUCCUGUGGGCGUUAAAUUUUGAGAACCACUGAUUUCACUCCUUUGGGAAUUGAUAGAGAUACAUGGGCAUAUUGCUCUUCACCCUGUCCACAGUGCCAACUGUCUCCCUGUUCACACUGUCCGCACCGUUUGCUGAGCCCAGGGUAGGCAAGGCAUGAGCGAAGAGGCCGGAAGAAGACCGGAGGAGCUGCAGACGCGUUUAUUGCCCUCCUGCUGACGCAGCCGCCAUACCAGUGUUCUCUCCUGGCUGACGCAGC
RNAcentral lists this long non-coding RNA (1377 nucleotides) under Capra hircus (goat). RNAcentral's name for it is "lncRNA (ENSCHIG00010010664.1)". The record is from RNAcentral. Lineage: Eukaryota; Metazoa; Chordata; Mammalia; Artiodactyla; Bovidae.